Molecule: unclassified non-coding RNA, 180 nt
Filed under: uncultured fungus
Lineage: Eukaryota; Fungi
Description: sequence contains ITS1
Source: RNAcentral
UUAAUUUAAUUGCAUGUGGACUCAGACAGCACUAAUUAUUCAGAAUAAAUGGGGCCUCUGGCGGACCGACCGCGGCCGGAUCCACCGAAGCAACAGAGGUAUAUACACAAAGGGUGGGAGGGUUGGGCCCCGGAGGACCCUAUCUCGAUAAUGAUCCUUCCGCAGGUUCACCUACGGAAA